UCGUACGCACUGGCCCAACUGAUUGAUGGUGCUCGUACCUGAUUGACGAUGGAUCACCAGUGAGUGGCGGACGGGUGAGUAACACGUAGGUAACCUGCCCCGGAGCGGGGGAUAACAUUUGGAAACAGAUGCUAAUACCGCAUAACAACAAAAGCCACAUGGCUUUUGUUUGAAAGAUGGCUUUGGCUAUCACUCUGGGAUGGACCUGCGGUGCAUUAGCUAGUUGGUAAGGUAACGGCUUACCAAGGCGAUGAUGCAUAGCCGAGUUGAGAGACUGAUCGGCCACAAUGGAACUGAGACACGGUCCAUACUCCUACGGGAGGCAGCAGUAGGGAAUCUUCCACAAUGGGCGCAAGCCUGAUGGAGCAACACCGCGUGAGUGAAGAAGGGUUUCGGCUCGUAAAGCUCUGUUGUUGGAGAAGAACGUGCGUGAGAGUAACUGUUCACGCAGUGACGGUAUCCAACCAGAAAGUCACGGCUAACUACGUGCCAGCAGCCGCGGUAAUACGUAGGUGGCAAGCGUUAUCCGGAUUUAUUGGGCGUAAAGCGAGCGCAGGCGGUUGCUUAGGUCUGAUGUGAAAGCCUUCGGCUUAACAGAAGAAGCGCCCCCCCCACCGGGCGACUUGAGUGCAGAAGAG
RNAcentral lists this ribosomal RNA (638 nucleotides) under uncultured bacterium. Its description in RNAcentral is "bacterial SSU rRNA". It matches the Rfam family "Bacterial small subunit ribosomal RNA", at positions 1 to 656 of the family's 1533-position model. The record is from RNAcentral.